This 72-nucleotide transfer RNA is filed under the name Diaphorina citri (Asian citrus psyllid). It matches the Rfam family "tRNA". From Rfam's summary of the family: Transfer RNA (tRNA) molecules are approximately 80 nucleotides in length. Their secondary structure includes four short double-helical elements and three loops (D, anti-codon, and T loops). Lineage: Eukaryota; Metazoa; Arthropoda; Insecta; Hemiptera; Psyllidae. The record is from Rfam by way of RNAcentral.
GCUCCCAUGGCGUAGUGGUCACUGCGCUCGCCUUGCACGCGGGAGACCCGGGUUCGAUUCCCGGCGGGGACA